RNAcentral lists this long non-coding RNA (3411 nucleotides) under Equus caballus (horse). Its description in RNAcentral is "lncRNA (ENSECAG00000056532.1)". The record is from RNAcentral. Lineage: Eukaryota; Metazoa; Chordata; Mammalia; Perissodactyla; Equidae.
CAGGUGCAAUUAAGUUAGCCAAUCAAUAAACCUAACAAUCGAGAGAUUAUCCAGGUGGGCCUGACUUAAUCAUAUAAACUCUUUAAAUCUGGGUGUAGAGGUUAGCGACAGAGAAAUCAGAUACUAGAUGCAUCCUUUCUGACUUGAAGAUGAAGGCAAUUUUGUGACAAGUGAUGCUGGUGGCAUGUAAGACCUGUAAGCAGGCCCCAGCUGACAGUCCGUUAGAAAGGAAACAGGGGCUGCAGUUCUCCAACUGCAAAACACGGAAUUUUGCUUGAAAUUUAACUUGGAAGCAGACUUUCUCCCAGAGCUUCUAGAUGAAAACUCAGCCUGGCCAACCCCUUGGUGUCAGCUUUGUGUUACCCUGAGCAGGUACCCAAGACAUAUGGUUCUGGACUGCGGACCCACGGAAAGGGUGAGCAUCCACAUCUACCACCCGUGACCAGACUUCUCCACCUGUUGGCGAGCUUAAGUUAAAGUUAUCAAUAUAUGCCCCAAAACAGCAAUCACCUGGAUGAGAAGCAGAUGACAUCUAAUGUAGACUGUGAAUCCCAAGACACAGACCAGUUAGCCUUGAGCUAACUGCUGCCAAUCGUCCUCUUUUUGCUGAGGAAGACUGGCCCUGAGCUAACAUCCAUGCUCAUCUUCCUCUGCUUUCUAUGUGGGACGCCUACCACAGCAUGGCUUGCCAAGCGGUGCCAUGUCCCCCGCACCUGGGAUCUGAAACUGCAAACCCUGGGCCACUGAAGCAGAACAUGCACACUUAACUGCUGCGCCACCAGCCAGCCUCUGUAUGUGUCUUUCUGAUACUACCUUUUCACUCAACUUUAUGAUUUUGAGGUUCAUCAAUAUUAGUACUUGUGAUAACUACAUCACGUAGAGUUUUACUGCUAUAUAUUAUUUACAUUUAUCAAAAUUACUGAUGUAUUUGAAAGUUUCACCAUCUUGUUUUAUGCUUUCUAAACAUAUUCUCUUAUAUCUUGCGUUUCUAUAUGAGUUUUCAAUUUUUUCCUAUGUGCCCAUUUGUAAAUAUUUUACUUUAUUUUGAUUAAUUUAUAUUUACCAUAAAUUUUUAUUAUGCAAAUUUGAAUUAGUAUUUUUAUUCCUUAUCUCUAUUCUGAAACUUAAAUAUCCAAACAACGUAAAACACUUUAAAUUUAAUUACUCAACUAUUUAUCUUUAACACUCUUGUUUUUCAAGGUAUUAGUCUUUGUGAUAUAAUAUUUUUAGGUAUAUUGACAUAAAUACUUGCUAAUAUUUAUUUUAGGAUCGUUGCACCUAAAUUCAUGAAUGAAACUAAUCUAUAAUUUUCCUUCCUUGUAAUGUCCAUGUCAAAUUUGGGAUUCAGGUUAGAAUUUGCCCAAAGAAAAUUUUCUUCUUUUCUAUUCUGGAAAAAGAGUUCAUUGAAGUUUCGUGUAAUUUCCUCCUUUAGUAUUUGAGGGAAAACUCACUGUUGAUGCCAUCUGGAGCUGGAAAUUUCUCUGCAAAGACUUGAAUUUCUUCAAAAUAGAUAAAACUUUAAUGUUUUCUUUUCUUUCCCAUUUUCCUUUUCUUCAAGCAUGUACAAAGGCGUGUUUUCUUCUAAAAAAAUAUUGCAAAUUGCAAUCAUUUGCAACCAUUCAAAUUGUCAAAUUUAUUGGCACAUAUUUCUUUUAGUUCAUUUUCAUGAUCAAUAUUUUUCAUCCAACUAUAAACAUAUCUUUGUCUUUAUAUUUAACAUAUUUCUCUUAAGCAACACAGCUUUAUUUUCAUCCAUUCUGAUAAUCAAUUUUACUUUUACUAUCAAUAUUCUAUUUGACCAUCUGCUUGAAUUUCCACUUUUAGUCCUUUCCUGCUAUCUUUUGGACUAAUAAGUUUUUAAUUAUUACACUUUUUCUAUUACUUUCUUGGCUCCUUUCCCCUUUACAACUUCUUAUUCUUAUAAUGGAUACGUGGAAGCAUCCUUGAUUUAUUGUAGUCCAAAACAAAUUAUUAUUUUUAUCAAUUCCCUGGUAUUGCUAAAAUAUUAGAAUAUUUAAACUCUAUUUCCCUCUUCUAUAUUUUAUUUUAUUUAUUUUAGUUUUACAUAUAUUUUAAACUCUAUAAACAUUAUUUUUACAGUCAAAUUUUUAUAUUUACUCAUACAUUUAUCAUUUUUGAUAUUCUUCAUUUGCUGCUAUAUUCCUGCAUUACAGACCUUAUUUAUUUUACUUCUGCCUGACAAGCUCAUAGUUUUUUCUGCUGGCUGUUGACAAAUGCCUCUGGUUUUGUUUAUCUGAAAAGUCUUUAUUUCAACUUGAUUUUGGAAGGCUAUUUUUAUUGUGUGUAAAAUUCAACAUUAGCAAUUAUUUUCUUCCAGGACAUUGCAAAUGCCAUUCCGUAAUGCCCUGAAUUUCAUCUUUUAAAAGUUAGCUGUCAUUGUCAUUGUUUUCCCUUCAAAGGCCUGUGUUCCCUGCCCCACAUGUAAACACCUGGCUGUUUUGAAGAUUUUUCCUUUUUGUCCCUGGUUGUCUGCAGCUUUACUAUAAUGUUCUCUGAUUUGGUUUUUCUUGUAUUUAACUUUCGGACUUUACUGAGCUUCUUAAAUGUGUAGAUUAAUACUUUCCAUUAGUUGCAGAUAAUUGUCACCCAUUGUCUCUUCAUAUAUUGGUUUUGUUUUCUCCCCUCCCCUCCCUUCUCAUUCUAGGUUUCUUUCUAUAUAUAUGUUAGUCAAUUUGAGCAUGUAUAAUAUGUCAAGACUGUUUUGUAAUUUUUGAUUAUUUUAUACUCUGUGCUACUCCCUAGAUAUUUUCAGUUGAAAAACUUAUGUUAGUCUGUGUUCAAUUUUCUGAUAAUCCUUCCUUUUAGUUAUUCAUUUCAUGUACUGUCACUUUGAAUUCUAGAAUUUUAUGUGUAUUUUACAAUUUAAUACUAUCAAAAUUCUCCAUCUCUUCCUCUCUUUUGUUAGUUUCCCCCUCUAUUUUCUUUAGCAUAUUAAUUAGAGAUCUUUUAACAUCUUUGCCUAUUCUAACUUGAUUGUCUUUGGAUAUGUUCUAAUUGCCUAUUCAUUUUUUUCUCUAGUCAUAUUUCCAUGCCUCGCUUCUAUUUUCAGUGUAUACGAUUGUGUGUGUGUGAGUGUGGAUUUUCUAAUUGCAUGCGGAUCAUUAUUCAUAAACAAACUGUUGAUGUUCCAGGUGAUGAUAUCAUUUUCCAGUGAAUAUUCCCCUUUCCUCUAUUACACAGAUAUGAGAACAAGCAACAGAUUUUUUAUUUUGAUAUUUGUUAUUGUCAAAUUGAUCACUCUUUCUGUUUAUGAUUUGUAUUAAUUCUUUCUUAUUUAAGAAAGUCUUAUUCAGUGCAAAAUCAUAAAAUUUGCCCCCUUUUCUGUUCCCUGGUAGUUUUCUAGUUUGUGUUUUGACAUUUAAGCCAAUAAACCAUCUAAAAUUCUAUUUU